AGGAAAUACAUGAAAGAGAGAAGAAAAACUACAGAAGAAAGUGAUGAAACAAAGAAAUGAACAUCAGGAGAUCUGAAAACCAAAAAAAGGGGAGAGGAAGAUCAAAAAGAAACCUAAAACAGAAGAUGUGUGAAAAACAUAAAGAAAGCAAUGGAUCGUCACGGAACCAGAGAACCAGAGAGGUCGGAGGGGAAGAUCUGCCCCCAAAAAGUAGGAAAGAGGAUUAGUGAUGUGUUGAACAGAUUGGGAACUAAAUUUGAAGGACUGCCCAUUUGUUGGGGACUGACCAUAUCUCUGACAUGAACUGAACGGAUAGGACACUAAAUUUCCUGGAGGGCUUCUCCCUUGGUGGCAGACUUCAUGUCUCUGCCAUGAAUUGAACUAACGGGACACUAAAUUUCCUGGAGGACUCCUCCCUAGGUGGCUGACCUCAUGAUUCUGCCAUGAACGGAAUUAUUGGAUAGCAAAUUUCGGGGGGGGGGGGUACCCUUCUUUGUGACUGACUUAAUGUCUCUGCCAUAAAUUGAACUGAGGGAAAAGUAAAUUUCCAGGAGGGCUUCACAGGACAGAAUAUUUCCUCGAGGCCACCUUGUUUGGUGGCUGACAUCAUGUCUCUGCCAUGAACUGAACUGAUAGGACACCAAAUUUCAAGGAGGGCUCCUCCCUUGGUGACUGAUCAUGUUGCUGCCAUGUAUUAUUGUAAUAAACAUGUUAGAUAAUUUGAGUGUGUUUGGCAGUUAAUGUUAUGAGCCUUGAAGAAGCAAAAGAUGGGAAGACUCAGGUGUGACAUGUCUGACAUCGGCCAGUGUUGAAGUCUGAUAGCGAAUGACUGCUGACCGAUAACUACAAUGGGAGAGCUCUGUUGAGAGAUCAGGAAGAAACCUAAAAUCGAACUUGUGUGAAAGACAGAAAGGAAGAAAAAGGAACAUAAAGGGACCACAAAAUGGGAUAAGAGGGAGAAGAAGAUCUGCUCCAAAGAAGAGGGACAAAAGGACACUGAUAUAAUCAAUUGAUUGGCGACUAAAUUUCCUGGAGAGCUUCUGUCUUGGUGGCUGACUUCAUGUCUCUGCCGUGUAUUACUGUGAAAUACAUGUUAGAUAAUUUGAGUGUGUUUAGCAUUUAAUGUUCUGAGCCUUGAAGAAGCAAGGCUAAAGAUGCUGAAAUUUAUUAUUUUUAAUUAAUUUUAGACUAAAGCAAAGAGAUCAGGAAGAAACCUAAAACCAAAAUUGUGUGAAAAACAGAAAGGAAGGAAGAGGACCAUCAGGGGACCAGAAAACAGGGGAAGAUGGAGAAGAAGAUCUGCUCCAAAGAAAAGGGACAAAAGGAGAGUGACAUAGAGAAUUGAUUGGGUAACAAAUUUCCUGGAGUGCUCAGUUCUUGGUGACUGACUUCAUGUCUCUUCAAUGACUUAAACUGAUAGGACAGAAUAUUUCCUGGAGUGCUUCUCUCUUGGUGGCAGACUUCAUGUCUCUGCCAAGAAUUGUAGUGAUAGGAAAGUAUAUUUCCAGGAGGGCAUAUCUUUUGGUGGAUGACUACAUGUCUCUGCCAGGAUGUGAACUCAUAGGAGAGAGUAUUGCCUGGAGUGAUUUUCUCUUGGUGGCAGACUUCAUAUCUCUGCCACGAAUUGAACUGAUAGGACAGAAUAAUUCCUGGAGGGCUUCUCUCUUUGUGGCUGACUUCAUGUCUUUGCCAUGAAUUGCACUGUUAGGACAGAAUAUUUCCUGGACUAUUUUUCUCUUGGUGGCUGACUUCAUGUCUCUGCCAUGACUUGUACUGAUAGGAAAGAAUAUUUCCUGGAUUGCUUCUCUCUUGAUGGCUGACUUCAUGUCUCUGCCAUGAAUUGUACUGAUAGGACAGAGUAUUGCCUGGAGGGAUCGUCUCCUGGCGGCUGACUUCAUGUCUCUGCCACGAUCUGUACUGAUAGGAAAGAAUAUUUCCUGGAUUGCUUCUCUCUUGGUGGCUGACUUCAUGUCUCUGCCAUGAAUUCUACUGAUAGGACAGAGUAUUGCCUGGAGGGAUUGUCUCUUGGCGGCUGACUUCAUGUCUCUGCCACGAUCUGUACUGAUAGGAAAGAAUAUUUCCUGGAUUGCUUCUCUCUUGGUGGCUGACUUCAUGUCUCUGCCAUGAAUUGUACUGAUAGGACAGAGUAUUGCCUGGAGGGCUUGACUCUUGGUGGCUGACUUCAUGUCUCUCCCACGAAUUGUACUGAUAGCUGAGAAUAUUUCCUGGAUUGCUUCUCUCUUGGUGGCUGACUUCAUGUCUCUGCCACGAUCUGUACUGAUAGGAAAGAAUAUUUUCUGGAUUGCUUCUCUCUUGGUGGCUGACUUCAUGUCUCUGCCAUGAAUUGUAUUGAUAGGAAAGAAUAUUUCCUGGAUUGUUUCUCUCUUGGUGGCUGACUUCAUGUCUCUGCCACGAUUUGUACUGAUAGGAUAGAAUAUUUCCUGGAAUGCUUCUCCCUUGGCGGUUGACUUCAUGUCUCUGCCAUGAAUUGUACUGAUAGGACAGAGUAUUGCCUGGAGGGCUUGACUCUUGGUGGCUGACUUCAUGUCUCUGCCACGAAUUGUACGGAUAGGACAGAUUAUUGCCUGGAGGGAUUAUAUCUUGGUGGCUGACUUCAUGUCUCUGCCAUGAAUUGAACUGAUAAGACACAAUAUUUCCUGGAGGGCUUAUCUCUUGGUGGCUGACUUCAUGUCUCUGCCACGAUUUUUACUGAUAGGAAAGAAUAUUUCCUGGAUUGCUUCUCUCUUGAUUACUGACUUCAUGUCUCUACCAUGAACUGUACUGAUAGGACAGAGUAUUGCCUGGAGGGCUUCUCUCUUGGUGGCUGACUUCAUGUCUCUGCCACGAUCUGUACUGAUAGGAAAGAAUAUUUCCUGGAUUGAUUCGCUCUUGACGGCUGACUUCAUGUCUCUGCCAUGAAUUGUACUGAUAGGACAGAGUUUUGCCUUGAGUGCUUCUCUCUUGGUGGCUGACUUCAUGUCUCUGCCAUGUAUUUCUGUGAAAUACAUGUUAGAAAAUCGACUGUGUUUAGUACAUACUUCUCCGAGACCUGACGAAGAAAAGACGGCAAGACACGGCUGUUACAUCUCUGACAUCUGCCAGCGUUGCAACCCGAUUGCGAAGGCCUGCUGACCAAGAACUACAAUGGGAGAGCUCUGUUCAGAUUGAAGAAAAGAGAUCAGGAAGAAACCUAAUACUGGACACCUGUGGAAGACAGAGAGGAAAAAAAGGAUCAUCACGGGAGAAGAAAAUGGAAGAAGAUGAAGAAGAAGAUCUGCUCCAAAGAGAAGGGGAAAAAGGAGAGUGACGUAAAGAAGUGAUUGGGGACUAAGUUUUCUUGAAGUGCUCAGUUUCUGGUGGCUGACUUCAUGUCUCUGCCAUGAAUAAUACUGAUAGGACAGAAUAUAUCCUGGAGUAUUUUUCUCUUGGUGGCUGACUUCAUGUCUCUGCCAUGAAUUGUACUGAUAGGUCAGAAUAUUUCCUGGGGACUAAGUUUUCUUGAAGUGCUCAGUUUAUGGUGGCUGACUUCAUGUCUCUGCCAUGAAUAAUACUGAUAGGACAGAAUAUAUUCUGGAUUGAUUCUCUCUUGGUGGCUGACUUCAUGUCUCUGCCAUGAAUUGUAUUGAUAGGAAAGAAUAUUUCCUGGAUUGUUUCUCUCUUGGUGGCUGACUUCAUGUCUCUGCCACGAUCUGUACUGAUAGGAAAGAAUAUUUUCUGGAUUGCUUCUCUCUUGGUGGCUGACUUCAUGUCUCUGCCAUGAAUUGUAUUGAAAGGAAAGAAUAUUUCCUGGACUAUUUUUCUCUUGGUGGCUGACUUCAUGUCUCUGCCAUGAAUUGUACUGAUAGGACAGAGUAUUGCCUGGAGGGCUUGACUCUUGGUAGCUGACUUCAUGUCUCUGCCACGAAUUGUACGGAUAGGACAGAUUAUUGCCUGGAGGGAUUAUAUCUUGGUGGCUGACUUCAUGUCUCUGCCAUGAAUUGAACUGAUAAGACAGAAUAUUUCCUGGAGGGCUUAUCUCUUGGUGGCUGACUUCAUGUCUCUUCCACGAUUUUUACUGAUAGGAAAGAAUAUUUCCUGGAUUGCUUCUCUCUUGAUUACUGACUUCAUGUCUCUACCAUGAACUGUACUGAUAGGACAGAGUAUUGCCUGGAGGGCUUCUCUCUUGGUGGCUGACUUCAUGUCUCUGCCACGAUCUGUACUGAUAGGAAAGAAUAUUUCCUGGAUUGAUUCGCUCUUGGCGGCUGACUUCAUGUCUCUGCCAUGAAUUGUACUGAUAGGACAGAGUUUUGCCUUGAGUGCUUCUCUCUUGGUGGCUGACUUCAUGUCUCUGCCAUGUGUUUCUGUGAAAUACAUGUUAGAAAAUCGACUGUGUUUAGUACAUACUUCUCCGAGACCUGACGAAGAAAAGACGGCAAGACACGGCUGUGACAUCUCUGACAUCUGCCAGCGUUGCAACCCGAUUGCGAAGUCCUGCUGACCAAGAACUACAAUGGGAGAGCUCCGUUCAGAUUGAAGAAAAGAGAUCAGGAAGAAACCUAAUACUGGACACCUGUGGAAGACAGAGAGGGGAAAAAGGAUCAUCACGGGAGAAGAAAAUGGAAGAAGAUGAAGAAGAAGAUCUGCUCCAAAGAGAAGGGGAAAAAGGAGAGUGACGUAAAGAAGUGAUUGGGGACUAAGUUUUCUUGAAGUGCUCAGUUUCUGGUGGCUGACUUCAUGUCUCUGCCAUGAAUAAUACUGAUAGGACAGAAUAUAUCCUGGAGUAUUUUUCUCUUGGUGGCUGACUUCAUGUCUCUGCCAUGAAUUGUACUGAUAGGUCAGAAUAUUUCCUGGGGACUAGGUUUUCUUGAAGUGCUCAGUUUAUGGUGGCUGACUUCAUGUCUAUUCCAUGAAUAAUACUGAUAGGACAGUAUAUAUUCUGGAUUGUUUCUCUCUUGGUGGCUGACUUCAUGUCUCUGCCACGAUCUGUACUGAUAGGAAAGAAUAUUUCCUGGAUUGCUUCUCUCUUGGUGGCUGACUUCAUGUCUCUGCCAUGAAUACUAUGGAUAGGACAGAAUAUUUCCUGGAUUGUUUCUCUCUUGAUGGCUGAAUUCAUGUCGCUGCCACGAUUUGUACUGAUAGGAUAGAAUAUUUCCUGGAUUGCUUCUCCCUUGGCGGCUGACGUUAUGUCUCUGCCAUGAAUUGUAUUGAAAGGAAAGAAUAUUUCCUGGUCUAUUUUUCUCUUGGUGGCUGACUUCAUGUCUCUGCCAUGAAUUGUACUGAUAGCUCAGAAUAUUUCCUGAAGGUCUUGUCUCUUGGUGGCUGACUUCAUGUCUCUGCCAUGAAUACUAUGGAUAGGAAAGAAUAUUUCCUGGAUUGCUUCUCUCUUAGAGGCUGACUUCAUGUCUAUGCCAUGAAUAAUAGUCAUAGGACAGAAUAUAUCCUGGAAUAUUUUUCUCUUGGUGGCUGACUUCAUGUCACUGCCAUGAAUUGUACUGAUAGGAAAGAAUAUUGCCUGGAGGGCUUAUCUCUUGGUGGCUGACUUCAUGUCUCUGCCACGAUUUGUACUGAUAAGACAGAAUAUUUCCUGGAUUGCUUCUCUCUUGAUGGCUGACUUCAUGUCUCUGCCACGAAUUGUACGGAUAGGACAGAAUAUUUCCUGGAGGGCUUCUCUCUUGCUGGCUGACUUCAUGUCUCUGCCAUGAAUUGUACUGAUAGCUCAGAUAUUUUGCGGAGGUCUUGUCUCUUGGUGGCUGACUUCAUGUUUCUGCCAUGAAUACUAUGGAUAGGACAGAAUAUUUCCUGGAUGUCUUUUCUCUUGGUUGCUGACUUCAUGUCUCUGCCAUGAAUUGUAGGGAUAGGACAGAAUAUUUCCUGGAGGGCUUGUCUCUUGGUGGCUGACUUCAUGUCUCUGCCACGAUUUGUUGUGAUAGGAAAGAAUAUUUCCUGGACUAUUUUUCUCUUGGUGGCUGACUUCAUGUCUCUGCCACGAUUUGUACUGAUAGGAAAGAAUAUUUCCUGGACUAUUUUUCUCUUGGUGGCUGACUUCAUGUCUCUGCCACGAUCUGUACUGAUAGGAAAGAAUAUUUCCUGGAUUGAUUCGCUCUUGGCGGCUGACUUCAUGUCUCUGCCAUGAAUUGUACUGAUAGGACAGAGUUUUGCCUUGAGUGCUUCUCUCUUGGUGGCUGACUUCAUGUCUCUGCCAUGUAUUUCUGUGAAAUACAUGUUAGAAAAUCGACUGUGUUUAGUACAUACUUCUCCAAGACCUGACGAAGAAAAGACGGCAAGACACAGCUAUGACAUCUCUGACAUCUGCCAGCGUUGUAACCCGAUUGCGAAGUCCUGCUGACCAAGAACUACAAUGGGAGAGCUCCGUUCAGAUUGAAGAAAAGAGAUCAGGAAGAAACCUAAUACUGGACACCUGUGGAAGACAGAGAGGGGAAAAAGGAUCAUCACGGGAGAAGAAAAUGGAAGAAGAUGAAUAAGAAGAUGUGCUGCAAAGAGAAGGGGAAAAAGGAGAGUGACGUAAAGAAGUGAUUGGGGACUAAGUUUUCUUGAAGUGCUCAGUUUCUGGUGGCUGACUUCAUGUCUCUGCCAUGAAUAAUACUGAUAGGACAGAAUAUAUCCUGGAGUAUUUUUCUCUUGGUGGCUGACUUCAUGUCUCUGCCAUGAAUUGUACUGAUAGGUCAGAAUAUUUCCUGGGGACUAGGUUUUCUUGAAGUGCUCAGUUUAUGGUGGCUGACUUCAUGUCUAUUCCAUGAAUAAUACUGAUAGGACAGUAUAUAUUCUGGAUUGUUUCUCUCUUGGUGGCUGACUUCAUGUCUCUGCCACGAUCUGUACUGAUAGGAAAGAAUAUUUCCUGGAUUGCUUCUCUCUUGGUGGCUGACUUCAUGUCUCUGCCAUGAAUACUAUGGAUAGGACAGAAUAUUUCCUGGAUUGUUUCUCUCUUGGUGGCUGACUUCAUGUCUCUGCCACGAUUUGUACUGAUAGGAUAGAAUAUUUCCUGGAUUGCUUCUCCCUUGGCGGCUGACUUCAUGUCUCUGCCAUGAAUUGUAUUGAAAGGAAAGAAUAUUUCUUGGACUAUUUUUCUCUUGGUGGCUGACUACAGGUCUCUGCCAUGAAUACUAUGCAUAGGACAGAAUAUUUCCUGGAUGUCUUGUCUCUUGGUGGCUGACUUCAUGUCUCUGCCAUGUAUUUCUGUGAAAUACAUGUUAGAAAAUCGACUGUGUUUAGUACAUACUGCUCCGAGACCUGACGAAGAAAAGACGGCAAGACACGGGUGUGACAUCUCUGACAUCUGCCAGUGUUGCAAUCCGAUUGCGAAGGCCUGCUGACCAAGAACUACAAUGCGAGAGCCCUGUUCAGAUCGAAGAAAAGAGAUCAGGAAGAAACCUAAUACAGGACAUCUGUGGAAGACAGAGAGGGGAAAAAGGAUCACCACGGGAGAAGAAAAUGGAAGAAGAUGAAUAAGAAGAUGUGCUCCAAAGAGAAGGGGAAAAAGGAGAGUGACGUAAAGAAGUGAUUGGGGACUAAGUUUUCUUGAAGUGCUCAUUUUCUGGUGGCUGACUUAAUGUCUAUGCCAUGAAUUGUAUUGAUAGGAAAGAAUAUUUCCUGGAUUGUUUCUCUCUUGAUGGCUGAAUUCAUGUCGCUGCCACGAUUUGUACUGAUAGGAUAGAAUAUUUCCUGGAUUGCUUCUCCCUUGGCGGCUGACGUUAUGUCUCUGCCAUGAAUUGUAUUGAAAGGAAAGAAUAUUUCCUGGUCUAUUUUUCUCUUGGUGGCUGACUUCAUGUCUCUGCCAUGAAUUGUACUGAUAGCUCAGAAUAUUUCCUGAAGGUCUUGUCUCUUGGUGGCUGACUUCAUGUCUCUGCCAUGAAUACUAUGGAUAGGAAAGAAUAUUUCCUGGAUUGCUUCUCUCUUAGAGGCUGACUUCAUGUCUAUGCCAUGAAUAAUAGUCAUAGGACAGAAUAUAUCCUGGAAUAUUUUUCUCUUGGUGGCUGACUUCAUGUCACUGCCAUGAAUUGUACUGAUAGGAAAGAAUAUUGCCUGGAGGGCUUAUCUCUUGGUGGCUGACUUCAUGUCUCUGCCACGAUUUGUACUGAUAAGACAGAAUAUUUCCUGGAUUGCUUCUCUCUUGAUGGCUGACUUCAUGUCUCUGCCACGAAUUGUACGGAUAGGACAGAAUAUUUCCUGGAGGGCUUCUCUCUUGCUGGAUGACUUCAUGUCUCUGCCAUGAAUUGUACUGAUAGCUCAGAUAUUUUGCGGAGGUCUUGUCUCUUGGUGGCUGACUUCAUGUUUCUGCCAUGAAUACUAUGGAUAGGACAGAAUAUUUCCUGGAUGUCUUUUCUCUUGGUUGCUGACUUCAUGUCUCUGCCAUGAAUUGUAGGGAUAGGACAGAAUAUUUCCUGGAGGGCUUGUCUCUUGGUGGCUGACUUCAUGUCUCUGCCACGAUUUGUUGUGAUAGGAAAGAAUAUUUCCUGGACUAUUUUUCUCUUGGUGGCUGACUUCAUGUCUCUGCCACGAUUUGUACUGAUAGGAAAGAAUAUUUCCUGGACUAUUUUUCUCUUGGUGGCUGACUUCAUGUCUCUGCCACGAUCUGUACUGAUAGGAAAGAAUAUUUCCUGGAUUGAUUCGCUCUUGGCGGCUGACUUCAUGUCUCUGCCAUGAAUUGUACUGAUAGGACAGAGUUUUGCCUUGAGUGCUUCUCUCUUGGUGGCUGACUUCAUGUCUCUGCCAUGUAUUUCUGUGAAAUACAUGUUAGAAAAUCGACUGUGUUUAGUACAUACUUCUCCAAGACCUGACGAAGAAAAGACGGCAAGACACAGCUAUGACAUCUCUGACAUCUGCCAGCGUUGUAACCCGAUUGCGAAGGCCUGCUGACCAAGAACUACAAUGGGAGAGCUCUGUUCAGAUUGAAGAAAAGAGAUCAGGAAGAAACCUAAUACAGGACAUCUGUGGAAGACAGAGAGGAAAAAAAGGAUGAUCACGGGAGAAGAAAAUGGAAGAAGAUGAAUAAGAAGAUGUGCUGCAAAGAGAAGGGGGAAAAGGACAGUGACGUAAAGAAGUGAUUGGGGACUAAGUUUUCUUGAAGUGCUCAGUUUCUGGUGGCUGACUUCAUGUCUAUGACAUGAAUAAUAGUGAUAGGACAGAAUAUAUCCUGGAAUAUUUUUCUCUUGGUGGCUGACUUCAUGUCUCUGCCAUGAAUUGUACUGAUUGGAAAGAAUAUUUCGUGGAUUGCUUCUCUCUUGGUGGCUGACUUCAUGUCUCUGCCAUGACUUGUACUGAUAGGAAAGAAUAUUUCCUGGACUAUUUUUCUCUUGGUGUCUGACUUCAUGUCUCUGCCACGAUUUGUACUGAUUGGAUAGAAGAUUUCCUGAAUUACUUCUCCCUUGGCGGCUGACUUCAUGUCUCUGCCAUGAAUUGUAUUGAAAGGAAAGAAUAUUUCCUGGACUAUUUUUCUCUUGGUGGCUGACUUCAUGUCUCUGCCAUGAAUUGUACUGAUAGGAAAGAAUAUUGCCUGGAGGGAUUAUAUCUUGGUGGCUGACUUCAUGUCUCUGCCAAGAAUUGAACUGAUAAGACAGAAUAUUUCUUGGAGGGCUUAUCUCUUGGUGGCUGACUUCAUGUCUCUUCCACGAUUUGUACUGAUAGGAAAGAAUAUUUCCUGGAUUGCUUCUCACUUGAUGGCUGACUUCAUGUCUCUGCCAUGAAUAGUAGGGAUAGGACAGAAUAUUUCCUGGAGGGCUUGUCUCUUGGUGGCUGACUUCAUGUCUCUGCCACGAUUUGUACUGAUAGGAAAGAAUAUUUCCUGGAUUGCUUCUCUCUUGGUGGCUGACUUCAUGUCUCUGCCCUGAAUUGUACGGAUAGGACAGAGUAUUGAAUGGAGGGCUUGACUCGUGGUGGCUGACUUCAUGUCUCUGCCACGAUUUGUACUGAUAGGAAAGAAUAUUUCCUGGAUUGCUUCUCACUUGAUGGCUGACUUUAUGUCUCUGCCAUGAAUUGUAGGGAUAGGACAGAAUAUGUCCUGAAUUGCUUCUCUCUAGGUGGUUGACUUCAUGUCUCUGCCAUGAAUUGUACGGAUAGGAAAGAUUAUUGCCUGGAGGGAUUUUCUCUUGGUGGCUGACUUCAUGUCUCUGCCACGAUUUGUACUGAUAGGAAAGAAUAAUUCCUGGAUUGCUUCUCACUUGAUGGCUGACUUCAUGUCUCUGCCAUGAAUUGUACUGAUAGGACAGGGUAUUGCCUGGAGGGCUUGACUCUUGGUGGCUGACUUCAUGUCUCUGCCACGAUUUGUAAUGAUAGGAAAGAAUAUUUCCUGGAUUGCUUCUCACUUGAUGGCUGACUUUAUGUCUCUGCCAUGAAUUGUAGGGAUAGGACAGAAUAUUUCCUGGAGGGCUUGUCUCUUGGUGGCUGACUUCAUGUCUCUGCCACGAUUUGUACUGAUAGGAAAGAAUAUUUCCUGGACUAUUUUUCUCUUGGUGGCUGACUUCAUGUCUCUGCCAUGAAUACUAUGGAUAGGACAGAAUAUUUCCUGGAUGUCUUGUCUCUUGGUGGCUGACUUCAUGUCUCUGCCACGAUUUGUAGUGAUAGGAAAGAAUCUGUCCUGAAUUGCUUCUCUCUUGGUGGCUGACUUCAUGUCUCUGCCACGAUUUGUAGUGAUAGGAAAGAAUAUUGCCUGGAUUGCUUCUCUCUUGAUGGCUGACUUCAUGUCUCUGCCAUGAAUUGUACUGAAAGGACAGAGUAUUGCCUGGAGGGCUUGACUCUUUGUGGCUGACUUCAUGUCUCUCCCACGAAUUGUACUGAUAGCUGAGAAUAUUUCCUGGAUUGAUUCUCUCUUGGUGGCUGACUUCAUUUCUCUGCCAUGAAUUGUACGGAUAGGACAGAAUAUUGCCUUGAGGGAUUGUCUCUUGGCGGCUGACUUCAUGUCUCUGCCACGAUCUGUACUGAUAGGAAAGAAUAUUUCCUGGAUUGAUUCGCUCUUGGCGGCUGACUUCAUGUCUCUGCCACGUAUUUCUGUGAAAUAAAUGUUAGAAAAAUCGAGUGUGUUUAGUAUAUUCUUCUCCAAGACCUGACGAAGAAAAGAUGGCAAGACACAGCUGUGAGAUCUCUGACAUCUGCCAGCGUUGCAACCCGAUUGUGAAGGCCUGCUGACCAAGAACUACAAUGGGAGAGCUUUGUUCAGAUUGAAGAAAAGAGAUCAGGAAGAAACCUAAUACAGAACAUCUGUGGAAGACAGAGAGAAAAAAUAGGAUCAUCACGGGAGAAGAAAAUGGAAGAAGAUGAAUAAGAAGAUGUGCUGCAAAGAGAAGGGGAAAAAGGACAGUGACGUAAAGAAGUGAUUGGGGACUAAGUUUUCUUGAUGUGCUCAGUUUCUGGUGGCUGACUUCAUGUCUAUGACAUGAAUAAUAGUGAUAGGACAGAAUAUAUCCUGGAAUAUUUUUCUCUUGGUGGCUGACUUCAUGUCUCUGCCAUGAAUUGUACUGAUUGGAAAGAAUAUUUCGUGGAUUGCUUCUCUCUUGGUGGCUGACUUCAUGUCUCUGCCAUGACUUGUACUGAUAGGAAAGAAUAUUUCCUGGACUAUUUUUCUCUUGGUGGCUGACUUCAUGUCUCUGCCACGAUUUGUACUGAUUGGAUAGAAGAUUUCCUGAAUUACUUCUCCCUUGGCGGCUGACUUCAUGUCUCUGCCAUGAAUUGUAUUGAAAGGAAAGAAUAUUUCCUGGACUAUUUUUCUCUUGGUGGCUGACUUCAUGUCUCUGCCAUGAAUUGUACUGAUAGGAAAGAAUAUUGCCUGGAGGGAUUAUAUCUUGGUGGCUGACUUCAUGUCUCUGCCAAGAAUUGAACUGAUAAGACAGAAUAUUUCUUGGAGGGCUUAUCUCUUGGUGGCUGACUUCAUGUCUCUUCCACGAUUUGUACUGAUAGGAAAGAAUAUUUCCUGGAUUGCUUCUCACUUGAUGGCUGACUUCAUGUCUCUGCCAUGAAUAGUAGGGAUAGGACAGAAUAUUUCCUGGAGGGCUUGUCUCUUGGUGGCUGACUUCAUGUCUCUGCCACGAUUUGUACUGAUAGGAAAGAAUAUUUCCUGGAUUGCUUCUCUCUUGGUGGCUGACUUCAUGUCUCUGCCCUGAAUUGUACGGAUAGGACAGAGUAUUGAAUGGAGGGCUUGACUCGUGGUGGCUGACUUCAUGUCUCUGCCACGAUUUGUACUGAUAGGAAAGAAUAUUUCCUGGAUUGCUUCUCACUUGAUGGCUGACUUUAUGUCUCUGCCAUGAAUUGUAGGGAUAGGACAGAAUAUGUCCUGAAUUGCUUCUCUCUAGGUGGUUGACUUCAUGUCUCUGCCAUGAAUUGUACGGAUAGGAAAGAUUAUUGCCUGGAGGGAUUUUCUCUUGGUGGCUGACUUCAUGUCUCUGCCACGAUUUGUACUGAUAGGAAAGAAUAAUUCCUGGAUUGCUUCUCACUUGAUGGCUGACUUCAUGUCUCUGCCAUGAAUUGUACUGAUAGGACAGGGUAUUGCCUGGAGGGCUUGACUCUUGGUGGCUGACUUCAUGUCUCUGCCACGAUUUGUAAUGAUAGGAAAGAAUAUUUCCUGGAUUGCUUCUCACUUGAUGGCUGACUUUAUGUCUCUGCCAUGAAUUGUAGGGAUAGGACAGAAUAUUUCCUGGAGGGCUUGUCUCUUGGUGGCUGACUUCAUGUCUCUGCCACGAUUUGUACUGAUAGGAAAGAAUAUUUCCUGGACUAUUUUUCUCUUGGUGGCUGACUUCAUGUCUCUGCCAUGAAUACUAUGGAUAGGACAGAAUAUUUCCUGGAUGUCUUGUCUCUUGGUGGCUGACUUCAUGUCUCUGCCACGAUUUGUAGUGAUAGGAAAGAAUCUGUCCUGAAUUGCUUCUCUCUUGGUGGCUGACUUCAUGUCUCUGCCACGAUUUGUAGUGAUAGGAAAGAAUAUUGCCUGGAUUGCUUCUCUCUUGAUGGCUGACUUCAUGUCUCUGCCAUGAAUUGUACUGAAAGGACAGAGUAUUGCCUGGAGGGCUUGACUCUUUGUGGCUGACUUCAUGUCUCUCCCACGAAUUGUACUGAUAGCUGAGAAUAUUUCCUGGAUUGAUUCUCUCUUGGUGGCUGACUUCAUUUCUCUGCCAUGAAUUGUACGGAUAGGACAGAAUAUUGCCUUGAGGGAUUGUCUCUUGGCGGCUGACUUCAUGUCUCUGCCACGAUCUGUACUGAUAGGAAAGAAUAUUUCCUGGAUUGAUUCGCUCUUGGCGGCUGACUUCAUGUCUCUGCCACGUAUUUCUGUGAAAUAAAUGUUAGAAAAAUCGAGUGUGUUUAGUAUAUUCUUCUCCAAGACCUGACGAAGAAAAGAUGGCAAGACACAGCUGUGAGAUCUCUGACAUCUGCCAGCGUUGCAACCCGAUUGUGAAGGCCUGCUGACCAAGAACUACAAUGGGAGAGCUUUGUUCAGAUUGAAGAAAAGAGAUCAGGAAGAAACCUAAUACAGAACAUCUGUGGAAGACAGAGAGAAAAAAUAGGAUCAUCACGGGAGAAGAAAAUGGAAGAAGAUGAAUAAGAAGAUGUGCUGCAAAGAGAAGGGGAAAAAGGACAGUGACGUAAAGAAGUGAUUGGGGACUAAGUUUUCUUGAUGUGCUCAGUUUCUGGUGGCUGACUUCAUGUCUCUGCCAUGAAUUGUACUGAUAGGAAAGAAUAUUUCCUGGACUAUUUUUCUCUUGGUGGCUGACUUCAUGUCUCUGCCACGAUUUGUACUGAUAGGAUAGAAUAUUUCCUGGAUUGCUUCUCCCUUGGCGGCUGACUUCAUGUCUCUGCCAUGAAUUAUAUUGAAAGGAAUGAAUAUUUCCUGUUCUAUUUUUCUCUUGGUGGCUGACUUCAUGUCUCUGCCAUGAAUUGUACUGAUAGGAAAGAAUAUUUUCUGGAUUGCUUCUCUCUUGGUGGUUGACUUCAUGUCUCUGCCACGAAUUGUAUGUAUUGGACAGAAUAUUUCCUGGAGGGCUUCUCUCUUGGUGGCUGACUUCAUGUCUCUGCCAUGAAUUGUACUGAUAGCUCAGAUAUUUUCUGGAGGUCUUGUCUCUUGGUGGCUGACUUCAUGUCUCUGCCAUGAAUACUAUGGAUAGGACAGAAUAUUUCCUGGAUGUCUUGUCUCUUGGUGGCUGACUUCAUGUCUCUGCCACGAUUUGUAGUGAUAGGACAGAAUAUUUCCUGGAGGGCUUGUCUCUUGGUGGUUGACUUCAUGUCUCUGCCACGAUUUGUACUGAUAGGAAAGAAUAUUUCCUGGACUAUUUUUCUCUUGGUGGCUGACUUCAUGUCUCUGCCACGA
Molecule: long non-coding RNA, 14281 nt
Organism: Hemicordylus capensis (graceful crag lizard)
Lineage: Eukaryota; Metazoa; Chordata; Lepidosauria; Squamata; Cordylidae
Exons: 10
Source: RefSeq, a predicted model, not a curated record